GACGAACGCUGGCGGCGUGCUUAACACAUGCAAGUCGAACGGAAAGGCCCUGCUUUUGUGGGGUGCUCGAGUGGCGAACGGGUGAGUAACACGUGAGUAACCUGCCCUUGACUUUGGGAUAACUUCAGGAAACUGGGGCUAAUACCGGAAAGGAGCUCUUGCUGCAUGGUGGGGGUUGGAAAGUUUCGGCGGUUGGGGAUGGACCCGCGGCUUAUCAGCUUGUUGGUGGGGUAGUGGCUUACCAAGGCUUUGACGGGUAGCCGACCUGAGAGGGUGACCGGCCACAUGGGGACUGAGAUACGGCCCAGACUCGUACGGGAGGCAGCGGUGGGGAAUAUUGCACAAUGGGCGGAAGCCUGAUGCAGCAACGCCGCGUGCGGGAUGACGGCCUUCGGGUUGUAAACCGCUUUCGCCUGUGACGAAGCGUGAGUGACGGUAAUGGGUAAAGAAGCACCGGCUAACUACGUG
RNAcentral lists this ribosomal RNA (468 nucleotides) under uncultured bacterium. RNAcentral describes it as "partial 16S ribosomal RNA". It matches the Rfam family "Bacterial small subunit ribosomal RNA", at positions 28 to 507 of the family's 1533-position model. The record is from RNAcentral.